UACGUAGGGUGCGAGCGUUAAUCGGAAUUACUGGGCGUAAAGUGUGCGCAGGCGGCCGCGCAAGUCGAGUGUGAAAGCCCCGAGCUUAACUUGGGAAUUGCGCUCGAAACUACGUGGCUGGAGUGUGGCAGAGGAAGGUGGAAUUCCAGGUGUAGCGGUGAAAUGCGUAGAGAUCUGGAGGAACACCGAUGGCGAAGGCAGCCUUCUGGGCCAACACUGACGCUCAUACACGAAAGCGUGGGGAGCAAACAGG
This 253-nucleotide ribosomal RNA is filed under the name uncultured bacterium. RNAcentral describes it as "partial 16S ribosomal RNA". It matches the Rfam family "Bacterial small subunit ribosomal RNA", at positions 524 to 776 of the family's 1533-position model. The record is from RNAcentral.